Long non-coding RNA from Sebastes umbrosus (honeycomb rockfish), 2081 nucleotides. RefSeq lists it as uncharacterized. NCBI's taxonomy places the organism in Eukaryota, Metazoa, Chordata, Actinopteri, Perciformes, Sebastidae. The transcript has 2 exons. The record is from RefSeq and is a predicted model, not a curated record.
UCACAUAGUAGCUCUAAGGCACCUCCAUACAGUAUGCCUAUGGCAUUUUACAGCGUAGCGGCUAGCAGACUUUAAUUAGUUAGUCAGUAACUUUUCCUUCAUAGCUCUCCUACUCUUACUUGGUUUAACAUUAAGUCACUGCAUCUCCCUACAGAACGACACCACGGUUGAUUUCAGCGUCCAUGCACGUAUUUUCAGUUAGCUGACUGACGAAUGCCGUCUCUCCACGCAGAGGAGAGGAGAGAAACUAGCGUGACAGUGCAUGGUCAGUUCAUCGAUGCAGAAUCGUUCACGUCCGCAUCGCGGUGCAUAUAGAAUCAAGAAAUCUUAACACCUCUAUAUUAUAUACACCUUUAUUAUCCAGAUUUUACAUUCAUAUUACACACUGUGCAAUAACUGUAUAUAAAAACCAACUCUCAGUCGAUUUAAAAUGAAAAGGUUUCUUAAAUUCAUUGAAAACAUCUUUAAUAUCAUAUAAACGGUGAACACACGGCCUCACAAACAACACACUUAUCGUGUAAUAUACAAUCAUGUGUUUUGCUGACGAACACGUUACAAAUUGCACCUUUAAAAGAUAUUUAAAGUAACCUGAACAUGAUCAGCAGAGCCCUCCCAGCCCCUGUGACCUCCUGCUGCUCUGAUUAAUAGCUGCUUUAAUGGGAUUAAUGACGGCCCUGAUAGUAAUGAGGAAAUACUAUUAGCAUAAAGCGGCUGCUGUUUGGCUGAUUCAAGGCUCCUGGAUGGUGGCUGGUUGCUUAGGAAUGCAGAAAUCAAAGAUGGUGGGUGAACAGGGGUGUGUUCGGCGUGUGUGUGUGUGUGUGUGCGUGUGUGUGUGUGUGUGUGUGUGUGUAUGUGUGUGUUUUCAGCUCCUCAGAGGGACUCAGUGGGAAGGAGAGCGGAGCAUCGCUGGAGAGACGAUGCAGGGAGGGAUGAAGAGAUGAAGACUUCUAAACUUUAGAUAAACCUGUUUACACCACAUCUAUAAUCUGUGAUGAGGGGUCUAAACCGGACACUCCACCGUAAAGGUGGAGUCAUCAAUUCUGGAGAAAGAUUGUUGAUAUUUGAACUCAACACCCAAACAAAUCCCCUCCAGAUUUACAGUCGCUCUCGCUCCCACUGCCUUCCUCUUUAUACAUCCACGGCCGUUCCUCUCUCCUGUACACCAGCACCGACGCCCCCUGUUGCUGACUGGCUGGAAUACGAGCCACUUUGUUUGUUUCCCAUUUACAGAGCCAGGGCUGUGUAUGAACACCGGAUUGUUUUUUUCAGCAUACAACACUGAACGGACCGCUAGCGGACCGUGAGGAGAUAUUCACUGAAUUUGACAAACAGUGUAAUAGAUUAGAAUCGCUAAAUGAACCUAUUAAGGGGUCGUAAACCAAAAAGGUUUGAGAGGAAGCGUUUCAGAGGAACAGUAGAAAGAAGACAAAUCUGCUGCUAGUGAUUCUGCGAUGGGCUCGGCUAAAAAAAUCUCGUUCAUAACUUGACAUUUUUUGCAGCAUUCCCAGCCUGCGGUGAAGAGGCCAGGGGCUUCAUUAGAGAGAUCUGGAGGCCGACCCUAUCAGCCUGGGGGCACGCAGGAGGGGGGCGGGGGGUCUAUACCAAACCGAACGCCUGUCUCUCCACUGGAGACGGACUGGGCUCCCCUGGGUUCCCCGCGACCGACCUCCUGCUUCUGUGGAUGGGCCAGAAAAAUCAACGGCGUUCCCCUUUGAACAACCUCCUCCUCCUCCUCCUCCUCCUCCUCCUCCUCUUCCUGCUGCUCUGUCUCUCCUUCAUGCUCUCUCUCUUUCUCCCUUUCUCUGAGGACCUAAUGAAUGAUUCAUUUAACCCCUCCACCACCUCCAACACCACCAAACUCCUCGCCUUUUCACCCAACCACCCAUCUAUCUACCCGUCUUCCGCACCUCAACACUUUAUUUUACUUUCUGUUCUCCUGUUUUAUUGCAAGUAAAAGUAAAAGAUGGGUGGCAGCGCAGUGGUGGUGGCCAUGAAACGGAGACAACAAAGGGAGGAACAAGCGCCCAUUUGUGUCACAGAUCCCUCCGUGUAUCCCAUUAAAGGCAAUGUUUGACAAAUUA